Molecule: small RNA, 816 nt
Filed under: uncultured Sordaria
Lineage: Eukaryota; Fungi; Ascomycota; Sordariomycetes; Sordariales; Sordariaceae
Description: eukaryotic LSU rRNA
Rfam family: Eukaryotic large subunit ribosomal RNA (bases 542-816)
Source: RNAcentral
CUUGGUCAUUUAGAGGAAGUAAAAGUCGUAACAAGGUCUCCGUUGGUGAACCAGCGGAGGGAUCAUUACAGAGUUGCAAAACUCCCUAAACCAUUGUGAACCAACCCCUAAACAGUUGCUUCGGCGGGUGGCCGGGCCCCCCGAGGGCCCUGCCGCCGAGCCCGCCGGAGUCGAACCAAACUCUUGUUUACCACUGGCCUCUCUGAGUACUGUACUUUAAAUAAGUCAAAACUUUCAACAACGGAUCUCUUGGUUCUGGCAUCGAUGAAGAACGCAGCGAAAUGCGAUAAGUAAUGUGAAUUGCAGAAUUCAGUGAAUCAUCGAAUCUUUGAACGCACAUUGCGCCCGCCAGUAUUCUGGCGGGCAUGCCUGUUCGAGCGUCAUUUCAACCAUCAAGCCCCCGGCUUGUGUUGGGGACCUGCGGCUGCCGCAGGCCCUGAAAGACAGUGGCGGUCUCGCUGUAGCACCGAGCGUAGUAACUAAAACCUCGCUAAGGCUGCUCCGCGGGCUCCGGCCGUAAAACCCCCUUCUAACACAAGGUUGACCUCGGAUCAGGUAGGAAUACCCGCUGAACUUAAGCAUAUCAAUAAGCGGAGGAAAAGAAACCAACAGGGAUUGCCCCAGUAACGGCGAGUGAGGCGGCAACAGCUCAAAUUUGAAAUCUGGCUUCGGCCCGAGUUGUAAUUUGUAGAGGAAGCUUUUGGCAAGGCACCGACUGAGUCCCCUGGAACGGGGCGCCAUAGAGGGUGAGAGCCCCGUAUAGUCGGACGCCGAGCCUCUGUAAAGCUCCUUCGACGAGUCGAGUUGUUUGGGAAU